Triticum aestivum (bread wheat) is the source of this 115-nucleotide non-coding RNA. The record is from Rfam. NCBI's taxonomy places the organism in Eukaryota, Viridiplantae, Streptophyta, Magnoliopsida, Poales, Poaceae.
CUACUACUCCCUUCGUCCGAAAAUACUUGUCAUUGAAAUGGAUGUAUCUAGAUGUGUUUUAGUUCUAGACACAUCCAUUUUGAUGACAAGUAAUUCCGGACGAAGGGAGUAUUAU